CCUACGGGCGGCAGCAGUAGGGAAUCUUCCACAAUGGGCGAAAGCCUGAUGGAGCAACGCCGCGUGGGUGAAGAAGGUCUUCGGAUCGUAAAACCCUGUUGUUAGAGAAGAAAGUGCGUGAGAGUAACUGUUCACGUUUCGACGGUAUCUAACCAGAAAGCCACGGCUAACUACGUGCCAGCAGCCGCGGUAAUACGUAGGUGGCAAGCGUUAUCCGGAUUUAUUGGGCGUAAAGGGAACGCAGGCGGUCUUUUAAGUCUGAUGUGAAAGCCUUCGGCUUAACCGGAGUAGUGCAUUGGAAACUGGGAGACUUGAGUGCAGAAGAGGAGAGUGGAACUGCAUGUGUAGCGGUGAAAUGCGUAGAUAUAUGGAAGAACACCAGUGGCGAAAGCGGCUCUCUGGACUGUAACUGACGUUGAGGCUCGAAAGCGUGGGGAGCAAACAGGAUUAGAUACCCGUGUAGUC
This 465-nucleotide ribosomal RNA is filed under the name uncultured bacterium. Its description in RNAcentral is "partial 16S ribosomal RNA". It matches the Rfam family "Bacterial small subunit ribosomal RNA", at positions 338 to 795 of the family's 1533-position model. The record is from RNAcentral.